UUUUCUUUUAAGGGUAAUUUAGGAAAUUGUUAUUACUAAUUAAAUUAAUUAAUUAAUUAAUUUAAUAAAGUGGAAGAGGGGUAAAAGUGUAAUUUUACGAAUAAAUACCCUAGGUAUAAAUUAGAAAUUUUAUUCUUUCCCUUCUUUUUUGAAUAGAGUUCCUGUUCGCAGAAUUCCAGAGAACGUAAGGUUGGUGUCAGAUUUCAGGGUUGAAGAACAGAUCUCUAUAGGUGAAGAGUAGAUUAUAUCUUUUUCAGAAUUAUUCUUCUCCCAAGCUUUCAAGGACUUCUUUUGAGGUACUCUUAGUUCGGGUGAGGAGUGAUGGCUAGGCUGAGGAAUGGUCAUCAUUAGGAUUUGACUUAGGAUUUUAUGUUGGAUUUUGUUUAACUAUUAGUUAUGUUAUUUUGAAUCAUUUGGUAUUUGGAAGUUAUUUGGAAAUUGAAUUUUGAGGAUUUUAGAUUUUGUUUCC
This is a long non-coding RNA of Vitis vinifera (wine grape), 469 nucleotides long. RefSeq lists it as uncharacterized. NCBI's taxonomy places the organism in Eukaryota, Viridiplantae, Streptophyta, Magnoliopsida, Vitales, Vitaceae. The transcript has 3 exons. The record is from RefSeq and is a predicted model, not a curated record.